Molecule: ribosomal RNA, 975 nt
Filed under: Triticum aestivum (bread wheat)
Lineage: Eukaryota; Viridiplantae; Streptophyta; Magnoliopsida; Poales; Poaceae
Description: partial small subunit ribosomal RNA
Source: RNAcentral
AUGGCCGAAACCGACGACCCCGCCGCCUUCUGCGAGCCCACCGUAGCAAGUGGGCUGACCCACGUCGCCGUCGCCGCUGCCGCCGCUGCGAACUCUCCCUCCGCCGCCGCGUCCAUGCUGCCGGCCCCCCGCUCACCGCCUCGAAUUCGCGUCGCCCCGGCCGGUCGCCCCUGCGCUCAUGGUUCCUGCGAAGGCGCCGAAGCCGCGGCGGCUCGGGCCGACGACUCGCAGCUAGGGCCGGCCACAUCCUCCAGCAGCCAAGGAGCCUUUCGUCCACCUCCGCCGCCGCCACCGCCGGCCGUGGAGGAAGAUUUGGCCACGUCGACGGCCACCGCCUCCAACAUGUUCGAUGAAAUGUCGCAAAGAAGUGGAAAUAAUACCAAUGCAGAGGAUGUGUUGAUAUGCACCGCAUGGAAGAAAGUCUCUGAAGAUGCAUCCGUUGGAAGCGACCAAACGGUUAACACCUAUUGGCAACACAUCAAGGAUUACUUCGAUGAGCGCAACACAAGUGGUCACUUCCGUUCGAGGGACUCUGUUCGCCAACGUUGGUCCACCAUCAAUGCCGAAUGCCAAAAGUGGGCCGGUCGCUUGUCAAAUGUUGCUCGCAUGAACCUAAGUGGUUGCGAGCUCAAGGAUGAGGAGAAGUGGAAAACUAGAGAAACUUUUGAUGCUUCGAAGAAGAAGAGUGUGGUGAUUGAGGAUGAAGAAGAUGAUGCCGUUGAGGAUACGGGCCCCACUCCUAACUCCGCCACCAAAUCAUAUAGGCCCGAUAGAAACAAGAAAGUGAAGGGAACCAAGGCCGGAGACAAUGAUCUCAAGGAAGGAUUUGAUGCCAUUGCUAAGGCGAGGAAGGAUUUCUUAUCUGAAAAUCACUUGGACAAGCAGCCAUCACCGGUGUUGGAUUCGAUGUCGUGCUUCUUCAAUCCCCCGGUAGCGCGAGCCUCGCAGUCCGUGGUGGACCAGCAGCCCAUUUAA